This 422-nucleotide ribosomal RNA is filed under the name uncultured bacterium. RNAcentral's name for it is "bacterial SSU rRNA". It matches the Rfam family "Bacterial small subunit ribosomal RNA", at positions 355 to 774 of the family's 1533-position model. The record is from RNAcentral.
UAAGGAAUAUUGGUCAAUGGACGCAAGUCUGAACCAGCCAUGCCGCGUGGAGGAUUAAGGCCCUCUGGGUUGUAAACUCCUUUUAUCUGGGAAGAAAUGUACUUUUUCUUGAGUACUUGACGGUGCCAGAGGAAUAAGCACCGGCUAACUCCGUGCCAGCAGCCGCGGUAAUACGGAGGGUGCAAGCGUUAUCCGGAUUCACUGGGUUUAAAGGGUGCGUAGGUGGGCAGGUAAGUCAGUGGUGAAAUCUCCGGGCUUAACCCGGAAACUGCCGUUGAUACUAUUUGUCUUGAAUAUUGUGGAGGUAAGCGGAAUAUGUCAUGUAGCGGUGAAAUGCUUAGAUAUGACAUAGAACACCAAUUGCGAAGGCAGCUUACUACACAAUCAUUGACGCUGAGGCACGAAAGCGUGGGGAUCAAACA